UGCAUUCUCAUGGAUACUAGGUCGGUUUUGCCCAAAAGCCCUGCUCAGUCUCUGGGGUCAAGCUGGGUCUGACAGGAACUCGUGGGGACUUCGUGGGACAAGGGACUCUCCACAAUGGUCAGGAGACCCACAAGCCACAUGGGCGUGGACAGCAAAAAGGACACCAACCCGGGGCAAUUCACCCCACCCCUGAGGAGGGCAGAGCAGGCUGAGUGCCCCCCUGUGAACAGCCUGCACGGGCAGGAAGCAGAAGCCCAGGGCUGCGCUCCCAGAGAGCCCUGUCCUCCCCCGAAGAUCCCUGGGGGCAAAGGGGCAACGCUGGGAAAGGGUUUUCAUGCCAGCUUUCAGGCGGAAAGCCCACCUCCAAAAAUCUUAGAGAAACUUAAUAUUCCCUCCCCUCCCCCCGCAGCCCCUCAAUUGGGAAUCAAGGCGACAGGAGCUCGGCUUCCACUCAGCAACCUGAAAUCAUCGCUCUAGAAACUGAGGCUCAGAGGGGACCACAGACUUCUCCCUGAAAAGGCCGCAAGACCUGGAAACCGGGGUUCAGAGAGGUGCAGUGACUCGCGGCAGGACACCCCGCUGAGUCGGAGGCGCUGGGAAGCCGCGCUCCUCCCGGGUCCAGGGCGCAGAGCUGCGCGCGGAGACUCUCACAAAGACCACGUCGUCUCGUGUCCGGUUCCUUCCAGCCCGGGGACAAGGUCCAUUCAUCACCGCGAUUCCCGGGACGGCGGGGGAAGCGAGCGGGCGGCGCGGACCCGCGGAACCCGCCGCCCCCGCCCCGCGCCCGCGCCCCCCCGCCGCUCACCUCGCGUACUUCGUCUUCUGGAAAUCCAGGAGCCGGGGAGCGAACAUCGCGGCGGUUCCAUCAGCCUCCAGCCGGGGGCUCAGACCGCGGCAACUUGCAAAAGGCCGCGGGGCGGGAGCAGCAGGUCGGCCGGCUCGGGGCGGGGGCGGCCGGGGGCGCGCGGAGCGGAGCUGGAGCCGAGCCGGGAGCCGCCGACGCCAAAUCCCGAGCAGAUGGUGGCGGGCGGGGGGGGGGGGGGGGGGCUCCGGGCCAAUCGCCUGAGUCCCCGAGGCCCCGGCCCCCUCCCCGCGCGGGGCGGACCCCUCCUGGCCUCGCUGGGGGGAGGGGAGACCCGGGGGGGAGGGAUGGGGGCUUGGGGGGGCUUCUUCCUCUGCCGCUUCUUCCUCGCUCCCGGGGCCCCCUCCUACGGUCGUUUUGCAGCUAGAAGACGGCCUGUUAGACGGAGUCCCGGCGGGCCUGGGCUGGAAGGGGGCGGGCAUGCCCUUCAGCCCCUCGCCUGGUCGACCCCGGAGAGUAUUUGA
This 1326-nucleotide long non-coding RNA is filed under the name Sus scrofa (pig). RNAcentral describes it as "lncRNA (ENSSSCG00050068532.1)". Lineage: Eukaryota; Metazoa; Chordata; Mammalia; Artiodactyla; Suidae. The record is from RNAcentral.